RNAcentral lists this small RNA (62 nucleotides) under Caenorhabditis elegans. Its description in RNAcentral is "Unclassified non-coding RNA F41G3.22". Lineage: Eukaryota; Metazoa; Nematoda; Chromadorea; Rhabditida; Rhabditidae. The record is from RNAcentral.
AAGGGAGAAAGGUGCCAAUGCGCGUGUUUGUAUUGAAAGAAGCUGCCCGUCGGAGCACCUGU